Molecule: ribosomal RNA, 150 nt
Filed under: Aeromonas sp. FBT4-3
Lineage: Bacteria; Pseudomonadati; Pseudomonadota; Gammaproteobacteria; Aeromonadales; Aeromonadaceae
Description: partial 16S ribosomal RNA
Rfam family: Bacterial small subunit ribosomal RNA
Source: RNAcentral
CAGUGGGGAAUAUUGCACAAUGGGGGAAACCCUGAUGCAGCCAUGCCGCGUGUGUGAAGAAGGCCUUCGGGUUGUAAAGCACUUUCAGCGAGGAGGAAAGGUUGGCGCCUAAUACGUGUCAACUGGACGUUACUCGCAGAAGAAGCACCG